AGCAGCCGCCGCGGGAAUACGUAGGUGGCAAGCGUUGUCCGGAAUUAUUGGGCGUAAAGGGCUCGCAGGCGGUUUCUUAAGUCUGAUGUGAAAGCCCCCGGCUCAACCGGGGAGGGUCAUUGGAAACUGGGAAACUUGAGUGCAGAAGAGGAGAGUGGAAUUCCACGUGUAGCGGUGAAAUGCGUAGAGAUGUGGAGGAACACCAGUGGCGAAGGCAACUCUCUGGUCUGUAACUGACGCUGAGGAGCGAAAGCGUGGGGAGCGAACAGGAUUAGAUACCCCAGUAGUCCCUGUCUCUUAUAA
This 303-nucleotide ribosomal RNA is filed under the name uncultured bacterium. RNAcentral describes it as "partial 16S ribosomal RNA". It matches the Rfam family "Bacterial small subunit ribosomal RNA", at positions 507 to 809 of the family's 1533-position model. The record is from RNAcentral.